UGUCCGACGCACAGGACCCCUGACGACGAUGUGCUCGAGCCACACACUUCGUGUGCCAGACGCCGCCUCCACUCACCGUGUUGGCAUGAAGGUUUUUUUGUGAGUGUGUGCUAGCUCAGCCCCGCUGUGCUUCGCACUACCAGGGGGGGAGAGGGGGGCAGAGCUGUGGCUUCUCUGAUGCGAAGUGACAGUUCUUUGACUAUGCUCUUUAGCUUUAUCUUCUAGUCUUUGCGUUCUCCCACUAUGUUCGACAGCCAUCUUUCUGUAUUCGCUCUAUAAAGUGACGAAAUAAACGUCGUUUCGAUCCUAAAAACAACAGCUGCUUGAAGAAGGCGAUCAAUUCUGUAAUGGCGUCAGGCAGUGCCCUGGGAUCAGCCUAUUGAGGAAGGACCACCUCACUCAUGAGCUGGCAAUAAGAUGCCAGCCUAUUGAGGGUAGUGUUCUGGACUUAGCAGCCCCCUUGCG
Molecule: long non-coding RNA, 465 nt
Organism: Schistocerca serialis cubense
Lineage: Eukaryota; Metazoa; Arthropoda; Insecta; Orthoptera; Acrididae
Exons: 3
Source: RefSeq, a predicted model, not a curated record